Phascolarctos cinereus (koala) is the source of this 301-nucleotide long non-coding RNA. RefSeq lists it as uncharacterized. The record is from RefSeq and is a predicted model, not a curated record. NCBI's taxonomy places the organism in Eukaryota, Metazoa, Chordata, Mammalia, Diprotodontia, Phascolarctidae.
UCUAGUAUUGCAGAAUGAUUUCCCUAGCCUCUUUGCUAUCACUUGACACUUGAGCUUUCUUCCCUUACAAAUGUGCUGAGUUGACCCUGGUUCUGAAACAGAUUUCAAAGACAUCACCCGUCUUCAUUGGUGGAGGAAUUCCUCACAAGGAGUGCCCUACCCUAAUGAAAUCAUCAGUGAGAUGCCAAAAUUUUGAUGGCAACAAGAGCAGUCACCUCUGGGUAUUCUUGCUACAUCGCCCUUCCUUUCUGGUGGCCUAGGAAAGUGGCAAUCCUUGGCUGGACUCCAAGCUUCUUAUCAU